UGUUUUAUUUUGAAUCCUUCCGUGAAUAAACAGUCAGCCUUUCUAGCCUUUACUGCAGGCACAAGCAGAGCCAUGAACAGAUGCACACAGACGUACACAGCAGCAGGCAGCAUUGUUUAGUGAGCCCGGACAGGCCCGGAGCGUCUCCCAGCUCGGCUUUGUUGUUCAAAAUGGCGUUGAUGGACUGUCCUCGGCGGGGAGUGUGAUCACCCUGCACGCCACCACCCAGCCGCCUCACACCUAAGGCGUGGCUGAGUGGGUGUUGCCCAUCCCUUACUUGUGGCAGUCAUGGAUAGACAGUGGUCACUGUAAUUGAGUGGUGCCAGAUAACAUGGCAGAUCUAUCUGAGCACAAGGAUGGGGGAGAUGAUGGGAAGCCAGACACUGCAAUAGCUCUGGCGGAAGGGUCUUCUGAACUGCAGUGCACUUCUUCAGGAGUUUGUGGUGAUGACCCUCACCAAAGCAAACGAUCAACACUUCUGUCUUCAGAACUGCAUCAGAAUGAAUGUGGAAGCGUUAGUGUGCACUCAGUGGAAGCAAAGGGUGCAAAGUCUUAUGAAGAAGCAGCAGGUAACCCAAGAAAGCUGGUGCUUGAGGAUGGAAAUGAGGCACAAAAGGACUUUAAGAUACAGGAUGAAACAGUUUGUGGUUUUGAUGAAUCCAAGCUAGCAAAGACAAAUGUGUCUCAGGCAAAGGAUCCUCCUGACAAAGAGAAUGAUCAAGGUGAAGGGAAGCUUUUAGCCUCUGAGCAGAAUGAGGCUCCACCUCAGGAAGAUGCUUCAAAUGAAAUUCAGUCUGUUAGUACAAAACCAUCAGAGACUACUGUAUCCUUGAAUAACAGUAAUAGUGAGCAUCCAUCACCUUGCACUCUACCAAUGUCUGAAGCGACACACACUAGAGACAUAUUAAAAGAGGCCAAUUCAUCCACAGAAACUCUUGUCCCUUCUACUCUCGGAUGUCAAGAGUCAUUAACAAGUUUAUCAAAACCCUCUUUAUCUACAGUAAAGUCACCUGAAUUAAAUCUAGAUUUAUCAAGCUUUGUAUCAAGUGAUCAUCAACAAGAAAAAUUAAUGGAGGCUGUGGUAGAGUCACAGGACUCCUCCAAAAGUAGCUUACAAUUUGAGUGUGUAGAGCCAACUGGGGUUGAAGGUAGUUCUACACAAUCAUCUUCCAUCUCUUCAUUAAGUGACCUGUGUUCGGCAAGUGAAGUAAAGCACACUAUUAUUGAUGCCGUUUCCCAGUCCUAUUCUGUUACAUCUUCAGCCACACAGAUAAGCAGUGUCCAGCAGGAGUUGGGUAAUGAUGUGGUACAGUUGGUGAAUCAGAGUGAGGAUAAAAAGACUGAGCCUCACUCACAGACUAGUAAAACCCAGUGCCCACAGGAGUCUAUCAGUGCAGAAAAUAAGAGGCAGGAUAGAGACAGUGGUGAAAAGGAUGGUGCUAUUAUUGAACAAGCAAAACAUUGUAUGGAAAAUGAGGUGCCUGAUAAUUCAGAAAUCCUUACUGGUCAAAGUGAAAUGAAUGUAGAACAGAAUGAAAGUUGUAAUGAUGUGAGUUUAACGAGUGAAACAGGUAUGGGAACACUGCCACUGAUAGUAGCCACUCAUUCCUUGUCUCAAGAACAAGAUACAGAGAUGUCUGAAAAAAGGGUGCAAACACCUCUAGAAUCCACCGAAAUGGAUGCCACAAACAAGAAAAUAGUGCCGUUAUUAGAAUCUGAACCUCUCAAGCCAGUUACCAUUGGCAGUAGCUUACAGCCUUUGGAAUUAAUUCAGGAGGCAUCCAUGGUGGAGGACACACCCAUCACUACAGACAUAGCCAUUAUUGAUAGCAGUGCUGAUGAAGCUGACAGUAUUGGUGGGCUGGUGAUAAAUAAUGUGAUUGGUGCGGCUGAUGGAGUGGUUGACUUUCACCCUGAUGAUGCAGAAACAGAAAAGGAACUGACUGACAUUAGUGCAUCAGCUCCCCUGCUAGGGGAAGGUAGUGACUCCAGUGAUGAACAUGGACCUUGUGCCAAGAGGAGAAGGUUGGAGAAUGGACCAAAUGGUGUGGAGGACAAGUCAAAUAGUGCAAAUAGAGUCAUUUUUAAGGUUAUUCCUGUGAAAAAUGGUCAUGGAGUGUGGAAUUCUCAGAAAUUACAGGAAGUUCUGUUAGCUAAAGGUACUAUUCUCCUUCAAAUUCAUGCAUCCAAGGAAAGCAUGGAACUGUUCGAAGCAGAGAAAGAUGAGAAAAAAGUGGACUUCACUGCCAUCAUGGCAGAGACAAAGGAUGACGACCAUGACCAAAUCUCCUUUGUCACUGUUGAACCAGAGGGUGAUGACCCUUUGGCUGUAUCAGCCUCCCAUCCAUCCUUCAGCCGCCCUUUGCCACACACCCAUAGACUAUCCACGGCCCUCCAGCCAGCCAUAUCAAGACCAGCAUUCAAGCAUCUGCAAACCCCACAGUUUCCAUGGUGACUGCAGCUGAUGGACAACACUUCAGCUGUUAGCCUCACAUGAGUCUUCACCCUGCUUGAAGAAAGCUGCUCAAUGGAAUUUCACAUGAAGAAUGAGGUGCUUGGCCUGCCACCACCACUGGAGUUUGAGGAGCCUCAGAUGGGUAAUACAGACUGGUCAG
This 2615-nucleotide unclassified non-coding RNA is filed under the name Portunus trituberculatus (swimming crab). RNAcentral describes it as "zinc finger protein Xfin-like, transcript variant X7". Lineage: Eukaryota; Metazoa; Arthropoda; Malacostraca; Decapoda; Portunidae. The record is from RNAcentral.